CCUACGAGAGGCAGCAGUGGUGAAUAUUGGGCAAUGGGCGCAAGCCUGACCCAGCAAAGCCGCGUGAAGGAAGAAGGCUUUCGGGUUGUAAACUUCUAUUGUCAGGGAAGAGUAGAAGACGGUACCUGACGAAUAAGACACGGCUAACUACGUGCCAGCAGCCGCGGUAAUACGUAGGUGGCAAGCGGUGUCCGGAUUUACUGGGUGUAAAGGGCGUGUAGCCGGGUUGACAAGUCAGAUGUGAAAUCCUGCGGCUUAACCGCAGAACUGCAUUUGAAACUGUUGAUCUUGAGUACUGGAGAGGCAGACGGCAUUCCUAGUGUAGCGGUGAGAUGCGGAGAUAUUAGGAGGAGCACCAGUGGCGAAGGCGGUCUGCUGGACAGCCACUGACGGUGAGGCGCGAAAGCGUGGGGAGCAAACAGGAUUAGAUACCCGAGUAGUC
RNAcentral lists this ribosomal RNA (442 nucleotides) under uncultured bacterium. RNAcentral describes it as "partial 16S ribosomal RNA". It matches the Rfam family "Bacterial small subunit ribosomal RNA", at positions 338 to 795 of the family's 1533-position model. The record is from RNAcentral.